UGGUGAGGUAGUUUAUAAGAGCGUCAGCUUGUGGGGCUGAAGGUGCCUAGGAAUAGGUCCUUGCUAU
This 67-nucleotide transfer RNA is filed under the name Trisidos kiyonoi. RNAcentral describes it as "tRNA-His". The record is from RNAcentral. Lineage: Eukaryota; Metazoa; Mollusca; Bivalvia; Arcoida; Arcidae.